UUGUGAUUUCUCAUGUCGACUCCUUUUUGCUUAUCUUUUUACUCAUCCUUAGGAGACCAUAAACAUUUAGGUUAAUUUUGAUUAAAAAAAAAUUCGACAAUUUAGAAGCCAUGCGACUAUGUAUAUAACCGAUAAUGUGUACAUUAACCACAAGCAAAAGGCGAUAAAAUUCUAGUAAACGGUGGGUUUAAAUUCUAAACAGUGGUUGAUACAUUAGUCUUCUUAUCGUCUUCUAAAAGGGCAUGGGGACAAAACAUAGCUUGGCUUAGACCGGUCAUCAGCUACUUGUCUGGUGAAAAAGUUGAUUGCUCCGCAUACAGCAGAAACCCUCUAGCUAAGUGAAGAGUACGUAAGAUUUAGUCUAGCUAAUGAAUUUUCAAUCUUCUCUCGUUGGAGAUUUACAACUGUUGUUUAUAUUCUCGUUG
RNAcentral lists this long non-coding RNA (425 nucleotides) under Brassica napus (rape). RNAcentral describes it as "long non-coding RNA (BNAP_LNC006421)". The record is from RNAcentral. Lineage: Eukaryota; Viridiplantae; Streptophyta; Magnoliopsida; Brassicales; Brassicaceae.